ACCUCUGAUGGGGCAGGGAGUGAGGAUUUAAAAUACUGUGUUAUCAUCAAUGACAGGUAAUAGGAUUGUCAUUGAGAGGGAGGGCCAGGUAGGAGACACCUGGUGAGUUGCUGUCCCCAGGAAUUCCUUUUUCACUCUCUGAUAGAAAGUGUAGACAGGGACCAUAGACCCCUGGUCUCAGGGGUCUCAUACCCACCUGAAAAUUGCAUGAAAAUUGUGUGGGAAUGCGGGUGAGGGAUUUUAGGUGGGGGCAGGUGUGGGGCAAGGCCGUAGCUUUCAUGAGAUGGUCAAAGUUGUCUUAAUUCACUGAGAGGACAACCGAAUCUGAAUAGAGUCGGCCCAUCUGACUGACUCUGAGGGGAAACACUGGAGACACAGGUGCCCAAGGAUUCUGAGACACCCGUGGGAGGGGCUCCCUUCAGCUGUCCUUGUUCCCUCAGCUCUUACUUCAGCUGGGGAAACUUCCUGAGGGCUUCCAGGUCAUGUUUGCAGCCUGAAGUGGAGUGACCCUGAGCUAAUGAAGAUAAGUUCCAGCUCCCCUCACCUACACAAGACCCUUCUUUAUAAUUACUCACUUUCGUGUCUAAUUUUGUAUUUAUACUUUGCAUUCUUUUUACUAAAGGAUACCUACAAAUUGUAUAAACUUUAGCCCCCGUAAACCUUGCCUGUUUAUACUGUAGAAGUGUCUCCCACAUCACUACAUCUCACAAGUGGAAGGUAGGUCACGCUGUUUCUACUGCCCCUGGUCACCUAGUUACCACCCCUGAGGAACUGUUACCAGUUGUUGUGCAUCUUUCCAGAGACUGAUUAUGCAUUUAAACUCUUACACUGUUCUUUACACAAUAAAAGAUUUUUCACAGACCAGCCUUGGUGAGGCUAAGUGGUUAAAUUCACUGCUCUCCACUUUGGUGGUCCGAGUUUUGCUCCUGGGUGCAGACCUAUACCACUCGUCUGUGAGUGGCCAUGCUGUGGUGGGAGCUCACAUUCGAAAAGAGGAAGAUUGGCAGUGGAUGUGAGCUCAGGGUGAGUCUUCCUCAGGACAAAAGGAAUUUCUCAUCUCCAUAUCUGGUUUCAUGAUUUGCUGAGGAAUUUCAUGAAAUGUCCCUGGGCAUCACUUACUGUCAUUCUGAAGGAAGAGUUGUUCAAGUAAGAUUCAACCAAGGACUUAGUAUGGAGAAGACACAGCCCACAGUCCUUCAUGUUAACAAUGGAGCCAUCCAAGACUUCAUCGUAAUUCCUAUGGGAUACUUAGAUAAGUUCUACCCUGAUGUUUUGUUUUGAUUCUAUAUUCACAUUGAUUUUGAACACACAGGCACUCCCCGAGUCCCGUGCCCUGCUCCCCACCCCAACUCUCCCCUCUAGGUCUACUACAGACAAUAGAAAACUGGGUGGAAGAGAGACAUGGUGCCUCAAUCCAGAGUCAAUGCCCAGUGGACUUUGGAAACUUUGAGAUUCUCCUUCAUGAAGAACAAAAGGGAAAUACUGUAUAUUCAUAAAUAUGAUGAUGAUGUUGUGUGAGUGUUUAUUUUCUUAGUUGGCAAAAGGAAUUCAGGUGGCGUAUAUUCUAGUGCAUAAUUUAAGUGGGGCAGUUAAAAAUAAACACAACAAAAGUCAACAUACCAUAGUAAAGAUCUAGAUAUCCUAUUUAUGUGGGAUACAGUCAAGCAUUAGUGUCCUCAGCUUUCGGCACCUCAGGCCGUAAGAGAAACAACUGGGGAAUGUGCUAAACCACCUGGAGAGAAAAACACAUUCUUAUGAUGUAUUUAAGGAAGAACUUAUCAUGUAGAAUUGUUGUAAAUGUCAUUGCUUACAAAAAUGAAAAUUAUUGAUAGGUAUAAUCUUGAAAAGAUAGAAAGUUGGCUCUUAAACGUCUACUUGAAAUACCUCCUAGAGGAAGAUUGAGAUCAAAUGAUGAACAAUUUAAAGAAGGCCUUUUCCUGCAGAUCUAAGUAAAUGUGGCCUAGGAAAAUCCCUUUCCAAUAAUCGAAACAAAGACACAGGAAAAGGAGUGUCCAGAGGGGAGAGCGCCUAGAGGAAUGGGCAGUUUCAUGGAGAGCAUCUCUCCCGCUGACCAGGAAUCCUAACCAAGAAAACUGUGGAGCUGCCAAGGACUUGUGAAAACCCCAUAUCUUCAUCUAUACUUUUACUCAGAAUGAAUUUGCACUGUAUUCGGGGGAAGAGAGCAAUGAGGGAGCCUGAAAGAAGGGCUGAGUUUUAAUCAAAUGUCCUCAACUGGAUUAAGGUUCAAGCACAGGUUUAGAGCCCAGACUCCAAGUGUCAGAGGCGCAUGGCCCUGUACAGAAUAUUUCCCAAUUAAUAGCUUUACCUGGAAAUUAAUCUAAGCACCCCCACCUCAGGACCUUUGCACUUGCUACUCCUCUUACCUGGGCUGCUUCUGCCUCACUUCUUUCAUGUCUUUGUCCUCAGUGAUGCCUGCUCUGUUUAGACUUCCAACCCCCAGCACCUACUACCCUCCACACACUUUCCCUCCCCCUACUUUCUCUGUAGCACAAAUCAUGACCUGAUGUACCACAUAAUUGAUUUAUUUAACUUCGUGUCAGUCUCCUAAAAGUAUAAUGAAAAUUUCAUGACAGAGUGUAUUUUUGUCAUUUUUUUUUCACUGCUUCUACUGAGCACUCGCACUAUUUCUUGGCAAAUUGUAGGUUUAAUAAACAUAUGUUGAAUGAAUGAAUCUGAAUAUAUUUUUAUUUUUAUUAAGGUCAGAUUCUGCAGAGCCCAUCAAGAUAAAUAGUUAUCUUCAAAUUUGCUAAACUAGUUAGUCUCUUUCCGUGUAAGAGAUCUCUUUGGUUUGUUUUUGUUGAGUUCAAUUAUUGGUCAUUGCUGCUGUUGAUGAUGCUGCUACAAAACUGUUGACUGAUUCCCUUGAACCUGCUUCAAUUCAUCCUUCAUUAGCCUUAGACACACUCCUAAGAGUCCUUUGUAUCUAUGGUCUCCCAAUACCAUCCAUUUUCUAUGUCUUUGCCCCUCAGAGUUCAGACUUCAUUUUCAUGGUUAAGGCCAGAGACACUGAAGUCCUGAGCUCCUGUGUGAUGGUGCUUGGCUGCCCUCGGUGUCUCCUUACUCCCAUCCUCUGUAGGAGGGGCAGAGUGGAGUACCUGGAACACAGAGAGGACUUCUCUCUUGCUAAUAUUGAUCAUCUCACAGCAGAAACGGCCUGCAUUCCACAAUGGGGGUAGGGCAUAACGGAUGUGGAAAGAGGCUGACAAGGUGCUUCUCAUCAUUUGGGAGCUAACUCAGCCCUGCCUUGUCAGAGGACAUUUGGAUUGGAGCAAGCUGUGAACAGAGAGUUAUUGAAUCACCUUAGAAGUGAAAAAGUGUAAAUGAGAGCAAGAGGGAGAAACUCCAUGUAGAACCAAUCAGUAGACAAUAUUGAGAAGAGGGCGAAUAAUAGCUCUAGAAAAUAUCUUUCAAUUGUUGAUAAGUGGAUUCUUGAUUGGGGAAGUAGAAUAAUGUAAUUCUAUUCAUUUAAAGAUUGGGAAGUGGAAUGCAAAUCAGUUUCCCCACAGGUGACAUGUGGACAGGCCCAAGUGUCAUCUGCAGCCCAGGGCAGAGCAGCAAUUGUCACAGGAGAGUGGGUAGCAACCCCGACAUGCUUCCGUUGAAGAUUGUUAUGCCAGAGCUGGGCCGUCUUGUCUUACAGUGUAGUUUUCUUCUGUUGUUGUUAUAUUGUUAUUUUAUUUCAUUUUUAUUAGAUAAUAGUUUCAAAUUUUCAGAAGUUUAAAACUACCCAAAGCAUACUGUGAAAAUAUUUUCAAAAUUCUCUCCCCUUCUCACAGUUCCUACUGCUCUCUCCUUUGAGACCAUUAUCACUAGGUCCUUGUAUGUCUUUCCAGGCACAUAUGUGCAUAGGGGUGUGUACACACAUCUAUGUACAUGAAUUCCUGUUCCCUUUUUAAAGAAAAUAUAGCAUAGUAUACAUAGUUCUGCAGCUUGAUUAUUUUUUGUUAAUAAUUCAAUUUGGAGAUCUUAUUUGUCAAUAUGUGAAGAAUUUCCCCGUUUCCUUUUUUUCUAUCUUUAUGGUGUUCUACUAUGUGGAUGGAUUUCAUUGGUCCCUUAUUUAUUGACACUUGAGUAAUUUUAUCUUUUGCUAUUGAAAUAGUGCUGCAAUGCAUAAUCUUCUUCUCUAUGAUUUCUAGGCAUGAUGAUGUAUCUGUAGGAUAAAUAAUCAGAAGUAAGAUUGUAACAUUGAUAGAUAUUUUACCUCCACGGGAGUUAUAAGGAAGUGUGGUUGAUCUUCAUUAUACAUUUGGGCAAAUUUGGAGAAGUGUCGGUUCCACAUCACUGAGAAUCAGACUUCUCAGUUCCUCACCUCAAACCUAGACAGAGCAGCCACUCCUAGUUCACAGUCAGGGAGGGCGGUUCAUAUUGUAGGUGGAGACUUGAGAUGAGCAGAGCUGCUGUAUGGCUAAGGGAAUAAUAGGCUCGGCUCAGGUUUUGAGCAAAAGACAGCCCAGCUGUACUUCCCUCUCCAGAAACUAAUGAGUCAGCCUAUAGACUGAAGGAGAGAUGGUGGAGGACUCUGGCAAUGGGAGGAUAGGGGGCAUGAGGGAAGGGGUGUGUUCACACCUGUAGCAGCAGAGCCUGAUGCGCUUAGAGAUUCAGGCAUAUCUGUUACAUCUUGCCAUUGGGUGGUUUCACUGCUUCUUUUCCUCCCUGAAAAGUUCCCUGCCCGUGACAGUUUUCAGUUGAACAAUCCUGAAACUCAACUGAUCGGAAGGAAAUGACGUCUAAUGUGGAAGAGACCACAUAAAAAUGUAGGUAUUUUGGGCGGUGGGGAGUGGUGUUCAAUCUUUUCUCUUCUCCCCAUCUCCCCCCAUGGGGUAUAUUGGAGACCAACUUCUUCCAUCCCCCCAAGGUUUAACCCCCCCAAUCUGCCCUCCUCCUGUUCCCCACCCAUUUCCUACCCCCUCCCCCCCAGCCAAUGGAGGGCAUGGAUGAUGAGACGAAGCUGAGGCUGCAUGGGUUGCAGCAGUGCUACAUGAAACUGAAGGACAAUGAGAAGAACCGGAAGCUCUUUGACCUUCUGGAUGUCCUUGAGUUCCACCUGGUCAGUUGUUCAAGUUCCAGUAGGGGGAUGAACAUAUCUCCAACUGUAGGAGAAACCUGUAUUAAGUACCCUUUUAUUGAGAAAACCAUGUGUCUGAUUUGAGAGAGAAUGGUGGAGAAAUUCUCUUACAUGUAAUUCUUUUAAAUGAGAAUAUAAAUAUCUUUUUGGGGCUGGCCAUGAACAAGGUGUAAAUUGCUUUUCUGUUCCAUGGCUGGCACCAACAGGUACUCAAUAAAUAAGAACCUCAAUAAAUAAACCUCAAAAUAUGAAAACCCUUGAGGGGUUUAAUAAGUUCGUAAAAGUCCCCAAAUAUCUUGGGGCUGUUAGGUCCUUAAUUUGCUUGUUAGUUCUUGUGUUACUGACGGAGGAAAAGCCUUCCAUCACUGUACCUGUUGUGCAGUUUUUCAUCACUAAAAACGACUUUCUAGAAUAGGGUAGGUUGCUUAUGUUCAGUAUUUUGAUGAGCAGGUAUAUUGGUCAUGGUCUUUCUAGACUUUAGUUCUAAUUUUUACCACUUCUUCUAGGGGUGUCCUCAUCCUUGUCUCCUAACAUCUGGUAAUUUCGGUUACUGUUCUCUGCAUCUUCUCUGUAACAUGUCUGCUCAGGAAAACUCAAAGCUGAGAGAGAGAAGCUAAGUUAUAUCUAGAGCAGAAGAGGAAAUAUGUGAUGGAGACUAAAACUUCCUUUAGAAAAGUGUAAUCACUGAAAACUCCUUUGCACAUAAUCUCUCUCACACACCCAUGAACACACAUCCCCCUUCUCACUCAGAUGCAACCCCCCCCCCCCCACACACACACAUAGGUGGAGAUCUUUGUGAAGUCUGUGCAGUGUUGCUUUGCCCUGGCCCAGCUCUUGGUGGAGCAGAACUUCCCAGCCAUUGCCAUCCACCGACAGAUGCCCCAGGAGGAGAGAUGAGUCAGAGAUGGGGAAGAUGUUUUGUGUCCUUAGGAGGAAAAGAGGCCAUUGAGAGAAGGGACUUUCAACAUUUUCCUAAUUUCCUCUCUCGUGAAGGCUUUCUCGGUAUCAGCAGUUUAAAGAUUUUCCAUGACGAAUUCUUGUGGCUACCAACCUAUUCAGCCGAGACAUGGACAUCGAGCGGGUGAACAUUGCCUUUGACUACCACAUGCCUGAGGAUUCUGACACCCACCUGCAUUGGGUGGCCAGAGCAGGCCAGUUUGGCCCCUAGGGCUUGGCCAUCACAUUUGUGUCACGUGAGAAUGAUGCCAAGAUCCUCAAUGAUGUGUAGGAUUGCAUUGAGGUCAAUAUUAGUGAGGUGUCUGAUGAGAUAAACAUCUCCUCCCACAGUGAGUAUUGAAACUGGCCUCCCCAACUCUUUAGAUUCCCCUUGUUCUUUAGUGUGUUUGUUGUAAAUCCUACUAUGUAGCAAAGCCUCUGCUGCAUAAUGGACACUUGACAAGUUCAUAGCCCCCUGGUCUAGAUGCCCUGUUGGGAUGUUUGUUGGAUCUACAUGGGGUCGCUUUCUUUUCUUGUGACAUUUCUUUUUCCCACCCUCAAGUCUAUCCUCUGAACCCACACACCACAUAAACAACUGCAUGUAUGGGUGUGUGUGUCUCUGCCAACCUCACUUUUUCUUUUCUGUGUCUUAUCCUAACCAUACCAUGUUUUCUCUUCAGUUGAACAGACUCAGUAGAGGACUUCCCCACCCAUUCUGGAAUGCGACAGCUGUCCUUCUUCAGGAGAUGACACCAGGGGUAGGAGCAAAGGAUACGCUACUACCACUUACCCCCAACCCCCGCUUCAUGGCUUCCCCUUUUGCAUCACCACCACUUCUAAACCUCCAUUUCCUGAUUUGUCAGAACUUUUUUUUAACAAAAGUAGAAAACACA
Molecule: non-coding RNA, 6915 nt
Organism: Equus caballus (horse)
Lineage: Eukaryota; Metazoa; Chordata; Mammalia; Perissodactyla; Equidae
Source: RefSeq, a predicted model, not a curated record